This 333-nucleotide ribosomal RNA is filed under the name uncultured bacterium. RNAcentral's name for it is "bacterial SSU rRNA". It matches the Rfam family "Bacterial small subunit ribosomal RNA", at positions 28 to 334 of the family's 1533-position model. The record is from RNAcentral.
GACAAACGCUGGCGGCGUGCCUAAUACAUGCAAGUCGAGCGAGCUUGCCUAGAUGAUUUUAGUGCUUGCACUAAAUGAAACUAGAUACAAGCGAGCGGCGGACGGGUGAGUAACACGUGGGUAACCUGCCCAAGAGACUGGGAUAACACCUGGAAACAGAUGCUAAUACCGGAUGAUGCAUGAUCAGGGCAUCCUGGACAUGCCAAAGAUUUAUCGCUGAAAGAUGGCCUCGCGUCUGAUUAGCUAGUUGGUGAGGUAACGGCCCACCAAGGCGACGAUCAGUAACCGGACUGAGAGGUUGACCGGCCACAUUGGGACUGAGAUACGGCCCAG